AGAGUUUGAUCCUGGCUCAGGAUGAACGCUAGCGGCAGGCUUAACACAUGCAAGUCGAGGGGCAGCGCGAGUAGCAAUACUUGGCGGCGACCGGCGCAAGGGUGCCGGCGCACGGGUGCGUAACGCGUAUGUAAUCCACCAUUAACCGGGGAAUAGCCCAGAGAAAUCUGGAUUAAUGCCCCAUAGUAUUAUCGAAAGGCAUCUUUUGAUAAUUAAAGCUCAGGCGGUUUUUGAUGAACAUGCGUGACAUUAGCUGGAUGGUAGGGUAACGGCCUACCAUAGCUAUGAUGUCUAGGGGUUCUGAGAGGAAGAUCCCCCACACUGGUACUGAGACACGGACCAGACUCCUACGGGAGGCAGCAGUGAGGAAUAUUGGUCAAUGGGCGCAAGCCUGAACCAGCCAUCCCGCGUGCAGGAUGACGGCCCUAUGGGUUGUAAACUGCUUUUAUACACCAAGAAAAAUCCGAACGUGUUCGGACCCGACGGUAGUGUAUGAAUAAGCAUCGGCUAACUCCGUGCCAGCAGCCGCGGUAAUACGGAGGAUGCAAGCGUUAUCCGGAUUCAUUGGGUUUAAAGGGUGCGUAGGCGGCUUUUUAAGUCAGUGGUGAAAUCUUGCCGCUUAACGGUAAAAUUGCCAUUGAUACUGAAGAGCUUGAGUACAGUUGAGGUAGGCGGAAUGUGUAGUGUAGCGGUGAAAUGCUUAGAUAUUACACAGAACACCAAUUGCGAAGGCAGCUUACUAAACUGUGACUGACGCUGAUGCACGAAAGCGUGGGGAGCGAACAGGAUUAGAUACCCUGGUAGUCCACGCCGUAAACGAUGCUCACUCGCUGUUUGCGAUACAUUGCCAGUGACUGAGCGAAAGCAUUAAGUGAGCCACCUGGGGAGUACGAUCGCAAGGUUGAAACUCAAAGGAAUUGACGGGGGCCCGCACAAGCGGAGGAACAUGUGGUUUAAUUCGAUGAUACGCGAGGAACCUUACCUGGGCUUAAAUGUAGGCUGCAUUCGGCUGAAAGGCUGAUUCCCUUCGGGGCUGCUUACAAGGUGCUGCAUGGUUAUCGUCAGCUCGUGUCGUGAGGUGUCGGGUUAAGUCCCAUAACGAGCGCAACCCCUAUCGUUAGUUGCUAACAGGUUAAGCUGAGGACUCUAACGAGACUGCCGCCGUAAGGUGUGAGGAAGGUGGGGAUGACGUCAAGUCAGCACGGCCCUUAUAUCCGGGGCUACACACGUGUUACAAUGGUCGAUACAAAGGGCAGCUACACGGCGACGUGAUGCGAAUCUCCAAAAGCGCCCUCAGUUCGGAUUGGAGUCUGCAACCCGACUCCAUGAAGUUGGAUUCGCUAGUAAUCGCGCAUCAGCCAUGGCGCGGUGAAUACGUUCCCGGGCCUUGUACACACCGCCCGUCAAGCCAUGGAAGCUGGGGGUACCUGAAGUCUGUAACCGCAAGGAACGGCCUAAGGUAAGACCGGUGACUGGGGCUAAGUCGUAACAAGGUAACC
This 1499-nucleotide ribosomal RNA is filed under the name uncultured bacterium. RNAcentral describes it as "bacterial SSU rRNA". It matches the Rfam family "Bacterial small subunit ribosomal RNA". The record is from RNAcentral.